CAACCCUUGACAUCCGGAUCGCGGUUACCGGAGACGGAUUCCUUCAGUUCGGCUGGAUCCAAGACAGGUGCUGCAUGGCUGUCGUCAGCUCGUGUCGUGAGAUGUUCGGUUAAGUCCGGCAACGAGCGCAACCCACAUCCCCAGUUGCCAGCAGGUCAAGCUGGGCACUCUAGGGAAACUGCCCGUGAUAAGCGGGAGGAAGGUGUGGAUGACGUCAAGUCCUCAUGGCCCUUACGGGUUGGGCUACACACGUGCUACAAUGGUAGUGACAAUGGGUUAAUCCCCAAAAGCCAUCUCAGUUCGGAUUGGGGUCUGCAACUCGACCCCAUGAAGUCGGAAUCGCUAGUAAUCGC
RNAcentral lists this ribosomal RNA (353 nucleotides) under uncultured bacterium. RNAcentral describes it as "bacterial SSU rRNA". It matches the Rfam family "Bacterial small subunit ribosomal RNA", at positions 975 to 1345 of the family's 1533-position model. The record is from RNAcentral.